GAACACAGCAGCCAUCAGACAGCAUAGGGUGCAGAUGGAGAGAAUAGCAGGAAAGCAGCUUCAAGCAAUCAGCAAGUGGACAAGGCAGCAGGAGACAGAACUACUUACUGAACUAACAGGAGUGAAUGGCACCUGCUGGAAUUUGGUAUACUUUCCCCUCCGCCUGGAAUCUGCUGCAAGGUCUUAUAUCAACCUCAACCCUGCUAUUCUUUGAGAAACUAAAGGUCCGUCAGGUUCAGGAUUCUCUGUCUGUGAACGGGCAUCACUUCAACAAAAGGUACAAAUCAUGAAGGUAAGAGUUGUUUGUCCAGCACUUGUUGGUUUUGUUUGCCAUGUAAUCAUUUCCAGCAGCAGCUUUUCUAUAAGCAUCACCCAAAAGAAACUAGCACUAUAACAUCUGGGGUCUGCACUUUCCUCUUUGACACAGUUUCUAUGUGCACAACUGUGAGGCAUAGGCUGUUGCAAUUCAGCAAAUGUUGCACCUGGUGAGACAAUCUAUUGUAGUAGGAGCUUCC
Long non-coding RNA from Gavialis gangeticus (Gharial), 515 nucleotides. RefSeq lists it as uncharacterized. Lineage: Eukaryota; Metazoa; Chordata; Crocodylia; Gavialidae. The transcript is spliced from 3 exons. The record is from RefSeq and is a predicted model, not a curated record.